AAAUAAUUUAUAAAUACAUUAAGACAGUAAAUUGUUGUUAAAAAAUUGUGUAAUUAACAGGAAAUAAAAGGUUUGAGUUCUUCUUCUAAAAGCUGUUGAGGUCUAAGGUUCUAAAAACAUUCUGGACCCACACCAUUCCAACUUAUAAUAGAAACUUUAUAUAAUUUAUUACCACCCUUGGAAAAAUGUCAGCUACCUAUUUUAUAAACACUACCCAAU
Thalassophryne amazonica is the source of this 219-nucleotide long non-coding RNA. RefSeq lists it as uncharacterized. The transcript is spliced from 3 exons. Lineage: Eukaryota; Metazoa; Chordata; Actinopteri; Batrachoidiformes; Batrachoididae. The record is from RefSeq and is a predicted model, not a curated record.